Molecule: ribosomal RNA, 497 nt
Filed under: uncultured bacterium
Lineage: Bacteria
Description: partial 16S ribosomal RNA
Rfam family: Bacterial small subunit ribosomal RNA
Source: RNAcentral
GAUGAACGCUGGCGGCGUGCCUAAUACAUGCAAGUCGAGCGAACAGACGAGGAGCUUGCUCCUCUGCCGUUAGCGGCGGACGGGUGAGUAACACGUGGAUAACCUACCUAUAAGAAUGGGAUAACUUCGGGAAACCGGAGCUAAUACCGGAUAAUAUAUUGAACCGCAUGGUUCAAUAGUGAUAGACCGUUUUGCUGUCACUUAUAGAUGGAUCCGCGCCGCAUUAGCUAGUUGGUAAGGUAACGGCUUACCAAGGCGACGAUGCGUAGCCGACCUGAGAGGGUGAUCGGCCACACUGGAACUGAGACACGGUCCAGACUCCUACGGGAGGCAGCAGUAGGGAAUCUUCCGCAAUGGGCGAAAGCCUGACGGAGCAACGCCGCGUGAGUGAUGAAGGUCUUCGGAUCGUAAAGCUCUGUUAUUAGGGAAGAACAAAUGUGUAAGUAACUAUGCACGUCUUGACGGUACCUAAUCAGAAAGCCACGGCUAACUACGUG